RNAcentral lists this unclassified non-coding RNA (272 nucleotides) under uncultured fungus. RNAcentral's name for it is "sequence contains ITS1". The stretch from base 1 to 98 matches the Rfam family "5.8S ribosomal RNA", at positions 49 to 154 of the family's 154-position model. Lineage: Eukaryota; Fungi. The record is from RNAcentral.
UAAAGUGCGAUAACUGGUGUGAAUUGCAUUACUUUGUGAAUCAUCGAGUCUUUGAACGCAGCUUGUGACCCCCCGGGGUCGUGUCUGCUUGAGUGUGCGUCUUGUACGUGACGGAUGCUUGCAGCCCCGUUUGAAACGAGCGUGACGCCUGUUGCUGAACGACGCGCUUGUGCUUGAACGGCAUUGCCGAACGACACUUGUGCCGAAUGAAAUGCGGCGUCGCUCCCCCUUCUUCGCACCUCAAGCCAGGCAAGAGCACCCGCUGAACUUAA